Long non-coding RNA from Austrofundulus limnaeus, 192 nucleotides. RefSeq lists it as uncharacterized. NCBI's taxonomy places the organism in Eukaryota, Metazoa, Chordata, Actinopteri, Cyprinodontiformes, Rivulidae. The transcript is spliced from 2 exons. The record is from RefSeq and is a predicted model, not a curated record.
GAAAACAAGGUGGAUUUCACAGGAGGAAGAAGAGGGAUGCAGACUUAGCCAUUUCUGCUUGACAAAUCAGAAACUGUCCCAGACACGCGGGAAUAUAUGGAGGAAUCAUCUUUCAACAAUAAUGUAUUUACCUGUGCAAAUAAAUAACAGAUUUAUUUUACCCAUAUGUCAAAUAAAGCAUAUAUUUAAUAA